GCCCUGUCCUGCGCCCGGAGGGUGAGGACAGCAGGGCCAGGGCGGUGGGGAGGCCCUGAGUUCUUCACACUGCUCUGUCACAGGGGUCACCAGGUCUGCCCGGCCCUGUUGGACCUAAAGGAGAGCCUGGACCCAUGGGGGCUCCUGGACAGGCUGUAGUCGGGCUCCCUGGAGCAAAGGGAGAGAAGGGAGUGCCCGGAGGCCUCGCGGGAGACCUGGUGGGAGAGCCGGUGAGUGUGGAGCCCCCGACAGCACUGUUCACUCAUCCUCGUGACCCUCGGCUUCCAUAAUACGUGUCACAUUUGACCCCGGGCCUCAUGCCUCCUUCCUUGAGUGUCAUCUUUCUAUGACCCUAAUGCCCAUGUUGCCGCCUGUCCCCUGUCUCUACAGGGGGCCAAAGGUGACCGAGGACUUCCAGGGCCUCGGGGUGAGAAGGUGAGGUGGGCCUGGCCCAAGGGCCAGAGGGCUGGGUCAAGGGGGGGCCAGGUUGGGUGACUAGACCCCCUUACCGCCCUUUCUGUGCAGGGUGAAGCUGGCCGUGCAGGGGAGCCUGGAGACCCUGGGGAAGAUGUGAGUCUGGGGUCUGGGCAAGUCUGACCUUGGGAGGAGGAAUGCAGCUGUGGACCAGAGGCAC
This 634-nucleotide long non-coding RNA is filed under the name Ursus maritimus (polar bear). Its description in RNAcentral is "lncRNA (ENSUMAG00000000591.1)". Lineage: Eukaryota; Metazoa; Chordata; Mammalia; Carnivora; Ursidae. The record is from RNAcentral.